UCCAAUAAAGUUGUUUUCCCCGCCUUGUCAAUUCCAAGAAUGAGCACAUGAAACUCUGUCUUACUGAAUAAAUACUUCCAAAGACCAUAGAACAAUGAGAACAUUUCUGAUAUUUAGAAAUUUAAUUAUUACUUGCUCCUUCAAACCUUCAGGCGUAGGAGAGAUGGAACUUCAUAAUUCGAACUUGAUCUCCAUGAUGCGCGCUUCUUGAAAAUCCUGAAAUUUUGAUGCUUGAGAUGAGAGAAACGAAGACCGAGAUCUCCUGCUAGGUUCAGUUUUCCGGUUAAGUCUGCGAAUCGGCCUCUUAAUCACUAACAGAACACACAUACACAGUCUCCGUCUCUACCGGCGCUCUUAUUCACAUAACCUGUUCGGUUUAUGCAAGGCUUUCAUCGUCCUUGUUUUUCAAUUUUCUUUUUCUUUGACAUAUUCAUUCCCCAUUUUAUCCCUUUGAUGAUG
This 459-nucleotide unclassified non-coding RNA is filed under the name Hevea brasiliensis (rubber tree). The record is from RNAcentral. Lineage: Eukaryota; Viridiplantae; Streptophyta; Magnoliopsida; Malpighiales; Euphorbiaceae.